RNAcentral lists this ribosomal RNA (256 nucleotides) under uncultured archaeon. RNAcentral describes it as "partial 16S ribosomal RNA". It matches the Rfam family "Bacterial small subunit ribosomal RNA", at positions 521 to 776 of the family's 1533-position model. The record is from RNAcentral.
UAAUACGAAGGGGGCUAGCGUUGCUCGGAAUGACUGGGCGUAAAGGGCGCGUAGGCGGCAUGUACAGUCAGAAGUGAAAUUCCUGGGCUCAACCUGGGGACUGCUUUUGAUACGUGCAAGCUAGAGUGAGGAAGAGGGUUGUGGAAUUUCCAGUGUAGAGGUGAAAUUCGUAGAUAUUGGAAAGAACACCGGUGGCGAAGGCGGCAACCUGGUCCUUAACUGACGCUGAGGCGCGAAAGCGUGGGGAGCAAACAGG